Oryctolagus cuniculus (rabbit) is the source of this 734-nucleotide non-coding RNA. NCBI's taxonomy places the organism in Eukaryota, Metazoa, Chordata, Mammalia, Lagomorpha, Leporidae. The record is from RefSeq and is a predicted model, not a curated record.
UCAAGGGGCUUCCAUAGCCUAGACAGCUCAUAGCAAGAGUCUCAGGUGAUUGCUGACAUCACAAAUAAGAGUGUCAAUUGUUAAAUCAACAACAGGAGUCACUGGGUUCAUGCGCCCCAUGUAGGAUCUCUGUCCUUAAUGUGUUUAACUAUGAAACUUAAAAACAACACUACUAGUCGAACAAUACCCUAUACCUGGUUCGGUUGUGUGAGUGCAGCCUGUUGAAAUCCCUGCUUAGUAUAUACUAAGCUGAUCCUCAGUAUAUGAAGGUGCAUUAGCAGGGAGCUGGAUCAGAAGUGGAGCAGCUGGGAGUUGAGCCAGUGUCCAUAUGGGAUGGUGGCACUGCAGGCAGAAGCUUAACCUUCUAUGCCACAGAGUAGACCUCUGAAAACUACAAAUUUUAAUGGUUUCUCAUAUGGGCGGCAAGAACCCAAGUACUUGAGCCAUCACCUACUGCAUCCCAGGGUGUGCAUUAGCAGGAAGCUGAACUGGAAGUAGGACUCAAAUUCAGGUACUCCAAUAUGGAAUGUGGGCAUGCCAAGCGGUGUCUUAACCACUGUACCAACUACCUGCCCCAAAACUGUUGCUGGCAAGCAAAAGCGUCCACAGUCUUAUUGCUUCAUGAACUGUAUGUGAGCACAAAUAUUCACAGUCCUCAUAAAUGCUAGCCAAAAUCCAUAUUUGGAACUUUUGAAAAAACAGUGGCCUGUCUCAACUUCAGGUAGUCCCAAUAC